AGUGAACGCUGGCGGUAGGCCUAACACAUGCAAGUCGAACGGCAGCACAGUAAGAGCUUGCUCUUACGGGUGGCGAGUGGCGGACGGGUGAGGAAUACAUCGGAAUCUACUUUUUCGUGGGGGAUAACGUAGGGAAACUUACGCUAAUACCGCAUACGACCUACGGGUGAAAGCAGGGGAUCUUCGGACCUUGCCCGAUUAAAUGAGCCGAUGUCGGAUUAGCUAGUUGGGGGGGUAAAGUCCCACAAAGGCGACGAUCCGUAGCUGGUCUGAGAGGAUGAUCAGCCAGACUGGAACUGAGACACGGUCCAGACUCCUACGGGAGGCAGCAGUGGGGAAUAUUGGACAAUGGGCGCAAGCCUGAUCCAGCCAUACCGCGUGGGUGAAGAAGGCCUUCGGGUUGUAAAGCCCUUUUGUUGGGAAAGAAAAGCAGCAGGUUAAUACCCCGCUGUUCUGACGGUACCCAAAGAAUAAGCACCGGCUAACUUCGUG
This 492-nucleotide ribosomal RNA is filed under the name uncultured bacterium. RNAcentral describes it as "partial 16S ribosomal RNA". It matches the Rfam family "Bacterial small subunit ribosomal RNA", at positions 29 to 507 of the family's 1533-position model. The record is from RNAcentral.